This 436-nucleotide ribosomal RNA is filed under the name uncultured bacterium. RNAcentral describes it as "bacterial SSU rRNA". It matches the Rfam family "Bacterial small subunit ribosomal RNA", at positions 855 to 1290 of the family's 1533-position model. The record is from RNAcentral.
ACGCGAUAAGUGCCCCGCCUGGGGAGUACGGUCGCAAGACUGAAACUCAAAGGAAUUGACGGGGGCCCGCACAAGCGGUGGAGCAUGUGGUUCAAUUCGACGCAACGCGAAGAACCUUACCGGGGCUUGAACUGUAACUGCGACUCGAUGAAAGUCGGGGUUCUCUUCGGAGACGGUUAUAGAGGUGCUGCAUGGCUGUCGUCAGCUCGUGUCGUGAGAUGUUGGGUUAAGUCCCGCAACGAGCGCAACCCUUACUCUUAGUUGCCAUCAGGUUAAGCUGGGCACCCUAAGAGAACUGUCGGCGAAAAGCCGGAGGAAGGUGGGGAUGACGUCAAGUCCUCAUGGCCCUUACGUCCCGGGCUACACACGUGCUACAAUGGCUGGUACAAAGGGUUGCCAACCCGCGAGGGGGAGCUAAUCCCAAAAACCAGUCCCA